This 1372-nucleotide ribosomal RNA is filed under the name uncultured bacterium. RNAcentral's name for it is "bacterial SSU rRNA". It matches the Rfam family "Bacterial small subunit ribosomal RNA", at positions 28 to 1381 of the family's 1533-position model. The record is from RNAcentral.
GAUGAACGCUGGCGGCGUGCCUAAUACAUGCAAGUCGAGCGAACGGACGAGAAGCUUGCUUCUCUGAUGUUAGCGGCGGACGGGUGAGUAACACGUGGAUAACCUACCUAUAAGACUGGGAUAACUUCGGGAAACCGGAGCUAAUACCGGAUAAUAUUUUGAACCGCAUGGUUCAAAAGUGAAAGACGGUCUUGCUGUCACUUAUAGAUGGAUCCGCGCUGCAUUAGCUAGUUGGUAAGGUGACGGCUUGCCAAGGCAACGAUGCAUAGCCGACCUGAGAGGGUGAUCGGCCACACUGGAACUGAGACACGGUCCAGACUCCUACGGGAGGCAGCAGUAGGGAAUCUUCCGCAAUGGGCGAAAGCCUGACGGAGCAACGCCGCGUGAGUGAUGAAGGUCUUCGGAUCGUAAAACUCUGUUAUUAGGGAAGAACAUAUGUGUAAGUAACUGUGCACAUCUUGACGGUACCUAAUCAGAAAGCCACGGCUAACUACGUGCCAGCAGCCGCGGUAAUACGUAGGUGGCAAGCGUUAUCCGGAAUUAUUGGGCGUAAAGCGCGCGUAGGCGGUUUUUUAAGUCUGAUGUGAAAGCCCACGGCUCAACCGUGGAGGGUCAUUGGAAACUGGAAAACUUGAGUGCAGAAGAGGAAAGUGGAAUUCCAUGUGUAGCGGUGAAAUGCGCAGAGAUAUGGAGGAACACCAGUGGCGAAGGCGACUUUCUGGUCUGUAACUGACGCUGAUGUGCGAAAGCGUGGGGAUCAAACAGGAUUAGAUACCCUGGUAGUCCACGCCGUAAACGAUGAGUGCUAAGUGUUAGGGGGUUUCCGCCCCUUAGUGCUGCAGCUAACGCAUUAAGCACUCCGCCUGGGGAGUACGACCGCAAGGUUGAAACUCAAAGGAAUUGACGGGGACCCGCACAAGCGGUGGAGCAUGUGGUUUAAUUCGAAGCAACGCGAAGAACCUUACCAAAUCUUGACAUCCUUUGACAACUCUAGAGAUAGAGCCUUCCCCUUCGGGGGACAAAGUGACAGGUGGUGCAUGGUUGUCGUCAGCUCGUGUCGUGAGAUGUUGGGUUAAGUCCCGCAACGAGCGCAACCCUUAAGCUUAGUUGCCAUCAUUAAGUUGGGCACUCUAAGUUGACUGCCGGUGACAAACCGGAGGAAGGUGGGGAUGACGUCAAAUCAUCAUGCCCCUUAUGAUUUGGGCUACACACGUGCUACAAUGGACAAUACAAAGGGCAGCGAAACCGCGAGGUCAAGCAAAUCCCAUAAAGUUGUUCUCAGUUCGGAUUGUAGUCUGCAACUCGACUACAUGAAGCUGGAAUCGCUAGUAAUCGUAGAUCAGCAUGCUACGGUGAAUACGUUCCCGGGUCU